GCCAUUGUGUUUAAUUUUUCAUUCAUUCUCUCUUAAGUCAAUCGAUUUGAAACAAUAUGGUUUCACUAAUUUGUUCUAACAAUGUAUGCGGCUCUUAUGAUCGUGCUGGUAUCAAGAAUAUUUGUGGAAAGUGUUUUAUGGAAAGUCACAAAGAAGAUUUUCAAAGACUCUUCAAACGUGAAGAUGAAAAGUAUCAUAAAUCAGAAGAAAUUGAAAGUCAAAUUGUGGAUAACUUUAAUAUAUGCGCUACUAUGGCUACUAUAACUCUCAAUGACUCUCCGGACAUGAAGAUGAAUAUUAAG
RNAcentral lists this long non-coding RNA (302 nucleotides) under Lathyrus oleraceus (garden pea). Its description in RNAcentral is "Pisum sativum (pea) long non-coding RNA (PSAT_LNC003722)". Lineage: Eukaryota; Viridiplantae; Streptophyta; Magnoliopsida; Fabales; Fabaceae. The record is from RNAcentral.